UGGUUCUGGCAUCGAUGAAGAACGCAGCGAAAUGCGAUACGUAAUGUGAAUUGCAGAAUUCAGUGAAUCAUCGAAUCUUUGAACGCAUAUUGCGCCUAUUAGUAUUCUAGUAGGCAUGCCUGUUCGAGCGUCAUUUCAACCCUCAGGUAACCUGUUACUUGGUGUUGGGAACCUAAGCGCCUGGCGUUUAGGUCCUGAAGAUUAUCGGCGAGCUACUCUAGGCUCCGAGCGCAGUAAAACUUCUCGCUUAGGACGUCUUGUGUAUACUGGCCUAUAACCCUAUAUUUUGAGAAAUUUGACCUCGGAUCAGGUAGGAAUACCCGCUGA
This 327-nucleotide unclassified non-coding RNA is filed under the name uncultured fungus. Its description in RNAcentral is "partial contains 5.8S ribosomal RNA and internal transcribed spacer 2". The stretch from base 1 to 133 matches the Rfam family "5.8S ribosomal RNA", at positions 22 to 154 of the family's 154-position model. The record is from RNAcentral. Lineage: Eukaryota; Fungi.